This 468-nucleotide ribosomal RNA is filed under the name uncultured bacterium. RNAcentral describes it as "partial 16S ribosomal RNA". It matches the Rfam family "Bacterial small subunit ribosomal RNA", at positions 28 to 507 of the family's 1533-position model. The record is from RNAcentral.
GACGAACGCUGGCGGCGUGCUUAACACAUGCAAGUCGAACGGAAAGACCCUGCUUUUGUGGGGUGCUCGAGUGGCAAACGGGUGAGUAACACGUGAGUCACCUGCCCUUGACUUUGGGAUAACUUCAGGCAACUGGUGCUAAUACCGGAUAGGAGCUCCUGCUGCAUGGUGGGGGUUGGACAGUUUCGGCGGUUGUGGAUGGACUCGCGGCUUAUCAGCUUGUUGGUGGGGUAGUGGCUUACCAAGGCUUUGACGGGUAGCCGGCCUGAGAGGGUGACCGGCCACAUUGGGACUGAGAUACGGCCCAGACUCCUACGGGAGGCAGCAGUGGGGAAUAUUGCACAAUGGGCGGAAGACUGAUGCAGCAACGCCGCGUGCGGGAUGAAGGCCUUCGGGUGGGAAACCGCUUUCGCCUGUGACGAAGCGUGAGUGACGGUAAUGGGUAAAGAAGCACCGGCUAACUACGUG